RNAcentral lists this ribosomal RNA (484 nucleotides) under uncultured bacterium. Its description in RNAcentral is "partial 16S ribosomal RNA". It matches the Rfam family "Bacterial small subunit ribosomal RNA", at positions 30 to 507 of the family's 1533-position model. The record is from RNAcentral.
AUUGAACGCUGGCGGCAGGCCUAACACAUGCAAGUCGAGCGGAUGAAGGGAGCUUGCUCCUGGAUUCAGCGGCGGACGGGUGAGUAAUGCCUAGGAAUCUGCCUGGUAGUGGGGGAUAACGUCCGGAAACGGGCGCUAAUACCGCAUACGUCCUGAGGGAGAAAGUGGGGGAUCUUCGGACCUCACGCUAUCAGAUGAGCCUAGGUCGGAUUAGCUAGUUGGUGGGGUAAAGGCCUACCAAGGCGACGAUCCGUAACUGGUCUGAGAGGAUGAUCAGUCACACUGGAACUGAGACACGGUCCAGACUCCUACAGGAGGCAGCAGUGGGGAAUAUUGGACAAUGGGCGAAAGCCUGAUCCAGCCAUGCCGCGUGUGUGAAGAAGGUCUUCGGAUUGUAAAGCACUCUAAGUUGGGAGGAAGGGCAGUAAGUUAAUACCUUGCUGUUUUGACGUUACCAACAGAAUAAGCACCGGCUAACUUCGUG